RNAcentral lists this transfer RNA (64 nucleotides) under Dipodomys ordii (Ord's kangaroo rat). It matches the Rfam family "tRNA". Rfam says of the family: Transfer RNA (tRNA) molecules are approximately 80 nucleotides in length. Their secondary structure includes four short double-helical elements and three loops (D, anti-codon, and T loops). Lineage: Eukaryota; Metazoa; Chordata; Mammalia; Rodentia; Heteromyidae. The record is from Rfam by way of RNAcentral.
GGUGGCUCAAUGGUAGAGUGCUUGCUUUGCAUGCACGAGGCUUGGGUUCGAUUCCUCAGCACCA